This 469-nucleotide ribosomal RNA is filed under the name uncultured bacterium. RNAcentral's name for it is "SSU rRNA". It matches the Rfam family "Bacterial small subunit ribosomal RNA", at positions 26 to 521 of the family's 1533-position model. The record is from RNAcentral.
AGAGCGAACGCUGGCGGCAUGCUUAACACAUGCAAGUCGCACGGGCAGGGGCAACUCUGUCAGUGGCGGACGGGUGAGUAACGCGUAGGUAUCUAUCCUUGGGUGGGGGACAACUGUGGGAAACUACAGCUAAUACCGCAUGAUGACCGAGGUCUAAAGGCGUCCGGGGUAACCUGGUGCGUCGCCUGAGGAGGAGCCUGCGUACGAUUAGCUAGUUGGUGGGGUAAAGGCCUACCAAGGCGACGAUCGUUAGCUGGUCUGAGAGGAUGAUCAGCCACAUUGGGACUGAGACACGGCCCAAACUCCUACGGGAGGCAGCAGUGGGGAAUAUUGGACAAUGGGCGCAAGCCUGAUCCAGCAAUGCCGCGUGUGUGAAGAAGGUCUUCGGAUUGUAAAGCACUUUCGACGGGGACGAUGAUGACGGUACCCGUAGAAGAAGCCCGGCUAACUUCGCGCCAGCAGCCGCGGU